AUUCCUCUUCAACCCCAGCAUCCCCCUGGGUUCCUGUGCAGGCCUCGGCUUCCAGGAACCCUGCCUUGGAGUGUGUGGUUGGCUCUGUGACCAGCAAGCAGGAGGCCACGGCCGUCCCACCCUCAGGGCUCUCACAUGUAGAGACGGGGUUUCACCAUGUUAUCCAGGAUGGUCUUGAUCUCCUGACCUUGUGAUCCGCCCGCCUCGGCCUCCCAAGCUGGGAUUACAGGUGUGAGCCACCGCGCCCGGCCGAGAAGUCAAGUCUUUCAGGACAUACCUAAAGAAGAUAGCAUCCGUGGUGCAUGGAGCAUGUGCCUCACCAGGCAUCACCAUACCCACCACAGCUCGUGCGUGUGGAUGCCUUUGCUACCCAGGACAGCCAUACAAGGAAGCCACUGGGGUCAGUCCCAUGCACAAACGGCAUGUCAAGAAAUUAAAUGAUUUCCUCAGGGCCCCGCAAUUACCUUCAGCAAAGCUGAGAUUCCCAGCCUUCUCUCUGCUCCCUGAGACUGACUCUGAAUUGCUUUUCUGCUAGAGAUGAAAACAAGAACAGAAACAGUGGAAACUAAUCACAUUUUUAAAAGUUUUACAUAACCACUUAAUUAUAAUAUGCCUGCCCCAAAAGCACUCCUAACGUCCUAACACAUGUACUUGUGAUUUUUCUUUAAACCUCAAAUAUUAUCGUCAUGGAAGAAAUACUCACAGUCCAUCAAGCUUGCCUGUCAGGAGCAUUUCCACCCUACAGACCAGCCAGGGAGGCAGAGUGCAGCCCGGGUCUGUGGGUCACCAGGCCUCAAAUGCCAUCCCAGCGCCAGUGAAAGUUUGCUGUGUUCCUUUACACUGUCCCCUGUGGGCCUGGCUUCCCUGUGAGAAGGUUAAAGAGCCCCAAACAAAACACGCAUUGAAACCUGCCUCCACAGCCCUCUCGGGCCUGCACAGGGCUGACAGGCACCCCUGGAGCCUGUCCACCUCUGGAAGGGCAGUUGCAUGGCUCUGAGCACCGACGGAAACCCCUCGACCUGGAGAGGCUGCCUGCGUGGGGCCGACGUUGCACAGGCUGACCUUGUAGGGCGGUGGGUGGGGGAUGCGGGGCAGGGGGCACAGCCCGGGCGCUCUUCCAGUGCUGGUUUGUCUAUUUCAUGUUGUCCACCCUGUCAUCCACCAGUUGUUCUUUGGGUGCAUUGGUAAUAAUAUCUCCCGCAUGGAUGGGCUCUUCCCAGAGCCUCGUGGGUGCUGAAUGAAGCCCAAGGAAUGGCCUUCACCAGACACUUCGUUUUGUUUUUUCUGCUUAUAAAAGGCAGUGCCCAGAUAGUUUCAUUUUCACAGGGACAUCUGUAAGCACACACUUUGAUUUACACUGGAAAGAGCCAAUGGUUCUCAUUUACAGAGGGUCAAGCUCCAGGAGGGAGGCAAGGGGACGCUUUGGAAAAUAAAGUUCUUCCUUUUACUCCUGUGGGCCUGAUGUGCUCUGUGAAGUUCGAACACAGUAUCGACCAUCUCAACUCUCAGGACAGCAUGUGACACCUCCAUCACUGGGAGCAAACUCUGUGCAGGAGCACCUGAUUCUGCCAGGGCAGGAAAUUCGCUCUCAGAAGCAUGUUCCACUCAAGCGGGCUUGGCCUGCGCUGUGAGUCAAUGUGAAGAGGGUGUGUUGGCUUCGGCUGGUUGACCUUCAGAAGUCGGAGAAGGCCAAAGUCCCACUGAAUAAACUGCAGAUGAAAGAGACUCAUGGGUCCUCAGAAGGAGGCAUAUGGCUGCUCUCGGGAUCUUGACUUUUGAAAUAUUUGUUUAAAGCAAACACUUGCAAUGGCUGUGGAAAGCCUCCCGUUUCCUCUGGACCCUCAGCCUCUCCCUCGCAGGGCAGGGCACCGGGUUCUCUCCCUCGGGGACAAUGAGGCGGGAGAGGCUUUUGUUUAUUCUUCAGGAGUCUCUGAGAGUUCACAAUCAUGUUAAAAAUUAACCUGGGGCCAGGCGCGGUGGCUCAUGCCUGUAAUCCCAGCACUCUGGGAGGCCAAGGCACAGGCGGGUCACCUGAGGUCAGGAGUUCAAGACCAGCUUGGCCAACAUGGAGAAACCCCAUCUCUACUAAAAAUACAAAAAUGAGUCGGGUGUAGUGAUGGGUGCCUGCAGUCCCAGCUACUCAGGAGGCUGAGGCAGGAGAAUCACUUGAGCCCGGGAGGCGGAGGUUGCAGUGAACCGAGGUCAUGCCACCGUACUCCAGCCUGGGUGACAGAGUGAGACUCUGUCUCAAA
RNAcentral lists this long non-coding RNA (2252 nucleotides) under Pan troglodytes (chimpanzee). Its description in RNAcentral is "lincRNA". Lineage: Eukaryota; Metazoa; Chordata; Mammalia; Primates; Hominidae. The record is from RNAcentral.